AGAACGGGCACGUCCCACACGCGAGCAAGGCUUCUUGCUGUGCCGCCCGUCAGAGCCAAGUCUGUGAUGGCGCCUCUGUUCCAGGUUGUUACAGAGCUGGGCAGCUCCUCAGGAAGUUGGCAUUAAAGAGAGCUGGUGUUCAAAAUCUGGAUUUUCUUUUUUUUUUUUUUUUAACCGAGAGUCCUUUCCCCUCAAUAAACUUGACAAAGGAGAUCAAGGAAACUAGGAAACUACCAGAAAUUCUCAUUUGCAUUUCCAAGCAAACGCCCAGCAAUCUUAGUCAUAUUAGCUGCAUGGCUUUGGGGUUAGAAAGGAGGUGAGGUUGGGAGGGGAAGAUAAAGGAUAAAAUCAGAGUGAAUAACACAGAAGAGGUCUAGCCAGCUGCCUUUCCUGCUUACAAGGGGCCACUGGGGCCAGAGCAGGCCUCCUCCCCCGGCUGUUGCGUCCAGGCUGUUUCCCACACUGUAGACCCCCUUCCUCCUUUGGUCCUCUCUGCCCUUCCCUGGGUCUCCCAUUUCAGACCUUGCUGUGCUUCCCAGUCCCCCACAUGGAACUCAGACUCCAAUUUCCAUCAGUCAAGGGCUUGCCUCUUCAGGCACAUGUCCUCAGCUCCCACUAAGAGGUCCUCAGCUUUAGGCCAGCUCGGCAGACUGGGGAAAUGGACGCCUCUGCACUGACCCAGCAAUGCUUAUCCAGAUCAGUGUUCAGGGAGCACCUUUCUCUCUAUGUCCUGUGGAUGCAGGGUCUGCCUGGUCAACGGCAAAGGUGUCUUUAUGCAUCUUCGGGAGGUUGGCCUGUUACUGGGUAUAGAGUUAGGGAAAGUACAGCCUGAGAAAUUAAUAUAGAAUGCAUGUGUAUAUACAUACAGACAUUUUUGUGCUUUCUUUUUAUAAAAGUAAAACAUGUCCUUUAAUGGACAUUCGACAAAUACAGAAGAAUAUAAAAAGAAAAUCAAAAUCUCCUGUAAACCUACCAGCU
This 978-nucleotide long non-coding RNA is filed under the name Homo sapiens (human). RNAcentral's name for it is "HSALNT0308318". Lineage: Eukaryota; Metazoa; Chordata; Mammalia; Primates; Hominidae. The record is from RNAcentral.